RNAcentral lists this ribosomal RNA (408 nucleotides) under uncultured bacterium. Its description in RNAcentral is "partial 16S ribosomal RNA". It matches the Rfam family "Bacterial small subunit ribosomal RNA", at positions 28 to 526 of the family's 1533-position model. The record is from RNAcentral.
GACGAACGCUGGCGGCGUGCUUAACACAUGCAAGUCGAACGAAGUGGCGAACGGGUGAGUAACGCGUAAUAAACCUGCCCUUCAGAGGGGGACAACAGUUGGAAACGACUGCUAAUACCGCAUACGGAAGGAGGGGAUUGCGUCUGAUGGGCUAGGUGGGGGGGUAAAGGCCAACCAAGGCGAUGAUCAGUAGCCGGUCUGGGAGGAUGAACGGCCAAAAUGGGAACGGGACACGGGCCAGACUCCUACGGGAGGCAACAGUGGGGAAUCUUCCGCAAUGGACGAAAGUCUGACGGAGCAACGCCGGGUGAGUGAUGACGGCCUUCGGGUUGUAAAGCUCUGUUAAUCGGGACGCGGUACCGGAAUAGAAAGCCACGGCUAACUCCGUGCCAGCAGCCGCGGUAAUUC